GGUCAAGCGAAUAAGUGCAUGUGGUGGAUGCCUUGGCGAUCACAGGCGAUGAAGGACGUAGUAGCUUGCGAAAAGCUGCGGGGAGCUGGCAAACGAGCUUUGAUCCGCAGAUGUCCGAAUGGGGAAACCCGGCCCGUAUGGGUCAUCCCUUGCUGAAUACAUAGGCAAGGGAGGCGAACGCAGUGAACUGAAACAUCUAAGUAGCUGCAGGAAAAGAAAUCAACCGAGAUUCCCAAAGUAGUGGCGAGCGAAAUGGGAACAGCCUUGUACUCUUUAGCAGUAUUGUUAGCGGAACGGAAUGGAAAGUCCGGCCAUAGUGGGUGAUAGCCCCGUACGCGAAAACAGUAUUGUGGAACUAGGUGUACGACAAGUAGGGCGGGACACGUGAAAUCCUGUCUGAAGAUGGGGGGACCAUCCUCCAAGGCUAAAUACUCGUGAUCGACCGAUAGUGAACCAGUACCGUGAGGGAAAGGCGAAAAGAACCCCGGGAGGGGAGUGAAAUAGAUCCUGAAACCGCAUGCAUACAAACAGUCGGAGCCUGGAAACGGGUGACGGCGUACCUUUUGUAUAAUGGGUCAGCGACUUACAUUCAGUGGCAAGCUUAACCGAUUAGGGAAGGCGUAGCGAAAGCGAGUCCGAAUAGGGCGUUCAGUCGCUGGGUGUAGACCCGAAACCAAGUGAUCUAUCCAUGGCCAGGUUGAAGGUGCGGUAACACGUACUGGAGGACCGAACCCACUAACGUUGAAAAGUUAGGGGAUGAGCUGUGGAUAGGGGUGAAAGGCUAAACAAACUUGGAAAUAGCUGGUUCUCUCCGAAAACUAUUUAGGUAGUGCCUCGUGUCUCACCUUCGGGGGUAGAGCACUGUCAUGGUUGGGGGGUCUAUUGCUGAUUACCCCGCCAUAGCAAACUCCGAAUACCGAAGAGUGCAAUCACGGGAGACAGACAUCGGGUGCUAACGUCCGGUGUCAAGAGGGAAACAACCCAGACCGCCAGCUAAGGUCCCUAAGAUUGGCUAAGUGGGAAACGAAGUGGGAAGGCUAAAACAGUCAGGAGGUUGGCUUAGAAGCAGCCACCCUUUAAAGAAAGCGUAAUAGCUCACUGAUCGAGUCGUCCUGCGCGGAAGAUGUAACGGGGCUAAGCCAGUCACCGAAGCUGCGGAUGCACGUAAGUGCAUGGUAGGAGAGCGUUCUGUAAGCCUGUGAAGGUGUCUUGUAAAGGAUGCUGGAGGUAUCAGAAGUGCGAAUGCUGACAUGAGUAGCGAUAAAGGGGGUGAAAGGCCCCCUCGCCGUAAGCCCAAGGUUUCCUACGCAACGUUCAUCGGCGUAGGGUGAGUCGGCCCCUAAGGCGAGGCAGAGAUGCGUAGCUGAUGGGAAGCAGGUUAAUAUUCCUGCACCGUCGUAUGAUGCGAUGGGGGGACGGAUCGCGGAAGGUUGUCCGGGUGUUGGAAGUCCCGGUCCCUACAUUGGAGAUGGCACUUAGGCAAAUCCGGGUGCGUGAUUCAAGGGUGUGGGGCGAGCGACGUUAGGUCGCGAAGCAAUUGGAAGUGGUUCCAAGAAAAGCCUCUAAGCUUCAGUCAUACGAGACCGUACCGCAAACCGACACAGGUGGGCGAGAUGAGUAUUCUAAGGCGCUUGAGAGAACUCGGGAGAAGGAACUCGGCAAAUUGGUACCGUAACUUCGGGAUAAGGUACGCCCUUGUAGUUUGACUGGCUCGCGCCAGAAGGAUGAAGGGGUUGCAAUAAAAUGGUGGCUGCGACUGUUUAAUAAAAACACAGCACUCUGCAAACACGAAAGUGGACGUAUAGGGUGUGACGCCUGCCCGGUGCCGGAAGAUUAAAUGAUGGGGUGCAAGCUCUUGAUUGAAGUCCCGGUAAACGGCGGCCGUAACUAUAACGGUCCUAAGGUAGCGAAAUUCCUUGUCGGGUAAGUUCCGACCUGCACGAAUGGCGUAACGAUGGCCACACUGUCUCCUCCCGAGACUCAGCGAAGUUGAAGUGUUUGUGAUGAUGCAAUCUCCCCGCGGCUAGACGGAAAGACCCCAUGAACCUUUACUGUAGCUUUGCAUUGGACUUUGAACCGAUCUGUGUAGGAUAGGUGGGAGGCUUUGAAACCGGGACGCUAGUUUCGGUGGAGCCGACCUUGAAAUACCACCCUGGUUUGUUUGAGGUUCUAACCUUGGCCCGUGAAUCCGGGUCGGGGACAGUGCAUGGUAGGCAGUUUGACUGGGGCGGUCUCCUCCCAAAGUGUAACGGAGGGUUCGAAGGUACGCUUGGUACGGUCGGACAUCGUACCUAAAGUGCAAUGGCAAAAGCGUGCUUAACUGCGAGACCGACAAGUCGAGCAGGUGCGAAAGCAGGACAUAGUGAUCCGGUGGUUCUGUAUGGAAGGGCCAUCGCUCAACGGAUAAAAGGUACUCUGGGGAUAACAGGCUGAUACCGCCCAAGAGUUCAUAUCGACGGCGGUGUUUGGCACCUCGAUGUCGGCUCAUCUCAUCCUGGGGCUGUAGCCGGUCCCAAGGGUAUGGCUGUUCGCCAUUUAAAGAGGUACGUGAGCUGGGUUUAAAACGUCGUGAGACAGUUUGGUCCCUAUCUGCCGUGGGCGUUGGAAUCUUGACGGGGGCUGCUCCUAGUACGAGAGGACCGGAGUGGACGUACCGCUGGUGUACCUGUUGUCUCGCCAGAGGCAUCGCAGGGUAGCUAUGUACGGAAGAGAUAACCGCUGAAAGCAUCUAAGCGGGAAACUCGCCUGAAGAUGAGGAUUCCCUGGAGACUUGAUCUCCCUGAAGGGUCGUUCGAGACCAGGACGUUGAUAGGCUGGGUGUGGAAGCGCAGUAAUGCGUUCAGCUAACCAGUACUAAUUGCCCGUGCGGCUUGAUCCU
This 2878-nucleotide ribosomal RNA is filed under the name Ralstonia sp. RS642. RNAcentral describes it as "23S ribosomal RNA". It matches the Rfam family "Bacterial large subunit ribosomal RNA". Lineage: Bacteria; Pseudomonadati; Pseudomonadota; Betaproteobacteria; Burkholderiales; Burkholderiaceae. The record is from RNAcentral.